RNAcentral lists this long non-coding RNA (1723 nucleotides) under Dermacentor andersoni. RNAcentral's name for it is "uncharacterized LOC126522050". The record is from RNAcentral. Lineage: Eukaryota; Metazoa; Arthropoda; Arachnida; Ixodida; Ixodidae.
CGCAAUCUUUUAAGGCACCUCCCCUCGGAUGGCCCUAACUUGGCUGUAACUUACGGCCAGAACGAAGAGUUGUACCAGGUGUAUGCGUUCUGCGCAUUUCAUAAAUACUUUCACUGGCUUCGUCAUAUGCGUAGCAUUUCCCAUCCAACAUUAGUUUUUUAUAUCUUAGUUUGAAAAGCGUGUUUUUCGAUUUGCCAUAUUCUAUUAAUUUUUUCCUUAUGUUACGAGUGGCUUGGCAGAAAUCUUCACUCAUUGCUGUGUCAGUGUUUUUUAACAAACCCCGCUUUGAAGAGACUAGCUCCCUGGUUUUAUAGGUUUCAAAUUUAGUUAUUAAUGGUCGAGUUUUCACUGAAUCAAAACGACCAAUUCUGUGCGCCCGGCAUAUGUCAGAACCGGUUAUGUUAACCUUCAAUGUAUUAGUCAGCAGGUUUAGUAUCUUAUUUUCCGAUUCUGAUGAAGUUUCGUCGGCGGUGUCCGGGAUACCAUAAAAGAUCAGAUUAUUUCUGCGAGAUCGAUCUUCUGCGUCAUCAAGACGUGAGUGAAACGCACUCGUGUCUUUUUUGAGGCGCUCUACCGUGGCAUGCAAUUCUUUCAUAUCUUUUUGGCACUGCUCGAAAACAGAAGUUUGAGUUUCGACUUUCGCUAGUCUGUCCUUUAUUUCGGACAUCGCUUCUGAAACAGACUGCUGCUGUUGCUUUACUUCAGCUACUGUUUCCAAUAUUGUUUUUUGCGCUGAUUCAAUUCUCUUUGUGCGCUCAUUCAAGUCUUUCAUCGUUUUCAGGACUUCUGCAAGAUUAUCGGGGCCAGGGUUCCUUUCAACAUCCCCACAAAGAAGAAGCAGCAAGGAGCAAAAAGGCAAUAGGACGGCUUCAGGGCACGGAAGCACGAUAGCGAAUGGAUCAUCUGAUCUGAAGCUACGACAAGGUAAUUUAGAAAGGCAACUAACCUGCAGGACGAAAAAAGAGGUGCGUAAGCCUUUGGUUCUUCCACUCAUCGUGCCUCCGUGCCCACUGGAGAGAUACUGUUCGAUGCUUGGUCUUAUCCUUUCCAGACGUGAUGACGUUGACGUCGCAGCUGCGCACUGGCGGAAUUGCAGGUGGCGCCCGAUGCGCACUGUCAGGUCCACGUGAGCUGUUGCCAGCAGGUGUGGGUCCGGAGCAGAGGCGGCAUCACAAAUUCCGUCCAAGGGUGGAAGGUUAACCCGAAGGCCAACCACCGAUGCGCCGGCCGCGAAGACAACGACGAACUGCAGGACGAAAAAAGAGACGUGAUGACGUUGACGUCGCAGCUGCGCACUGGCGGAAUUGCAGGUGGCGCCCGAUGCGCACUGUCAGGUCCACGUGAGCUGUUGCCAGCAGGUGUGGGUCCGGAGCAGAGGCGGCAUCACAAAUUCCGUCCAAGGGUGGAAGGUUAACCCGAAGGCCAACCACCGAUGCGCCGGCCGCGAAGACAACGACGAACUGCAGGACGAAAAAAGAGACGUGAUGACGUUGACGUCGCAGCUGCGCACUGGCGGAAUUGCAGGUGGCGCCCGAUGCGCACUGUCAGGUCCACGUGAGCUGUUGCCAGCAGGUGUGGGUCCGGAGCAGAGGCGGCAUCACAAAUUCCGUCCAAGGGUGGAAGGUUAACCCGAAGGCCAACCACCGAUGCGCCGGCCGCGAAGACAACGACGAACUGCAGGACGAAAAAAGAGGUGCGUAAGCCUUUGGUUCUUCCACUCAUC